Bacillus rossius redtenbacheri is the source of this 2193-nucleotide long non-coding RNA. RefSeq lists it as uncharacterized. The transcript has 2 exons. Lineage: Eukaryota; Metazoa; Arthropoda; Insecta; Phasmatodea; Bacillidae. The record is from RefSeq and is a predicted model, not a curated record.
UCGUAAUUUUUGAUAGUUUAAGCUGUUUCUUGUUUACUCAAGCUCAUUGCUAAUAACAUUUUAAGUUAUCUCCUUUUUUUUUUUUUACCAAUUAAUUAUUCUAUAAAAAGCAAUUUAUAUACCAAUUACGUUUACAUGUGAAUAAGGAGAUUGAUAGCAACAGGGAAAGAUACUGAUGGCCUCAGGAAACAAUUGUGUGUGCUCAUUCCAAAAUUCUGCCCCCGAAAUGAACAAUCAGCAAGAAAUGUAUACUCGGAGGCACAAUUUAACAGAAAUACAGCCAACUCUGAAAAAAUAUUCAAAAGACGUUUCCAGAGGAUGGAGAAAAAAAGACCUCCGUCAACGAAGACUGCCGAAUACUAUUGCUCUGAAGGUAAACUUCUUUACUUUAUAUACUGGUACCUGCUCAUAAAACAAGUCAACAAUAUGGGCAGUUUUUCUCAUUUUUAUGUACUAUUAUUUUUAAGUCCAGUAGAAUAUUGUAGCAAGCCACAAUCGUGCCUGACUAAAAAACGACCAUUCAAUCACAUACAAAGACAAACACUUGAGAUUAUUAGAAUAUGUGAGCAGUGGGGUAGUAUGUUGUGCAGAUUAUUAUUAUUAAUAUUGAAGAUUAAAUUUCGAAAACAUUAAAUAUAUGAGUUUUAAAUUCACUUUUAAACUUGUUCGUAUCAAAACAGUACAACCGCCGAGUCGCUGAGACUGCAUGACUUCUCGGCCUAGCUCGCGAUCCACAACUGCUGACGAAACAAUCCCAUUACAAAUCUUACAGAUAAAUUAAUUUAUCUGGGUACUUCCCAGAAAUGCUUAUUUCCUUCUCCCUGGUUCUCUUACAAAUCUCUGUCUCUUUCUAGCCUAAAACACAAUCUGGUAUUCUCCAGUCCGAUAUCCUUUACAUGGUCCAGGCGAACGUCUGUCUCUCUUUUACACUGGUUGCGAUUAAUUAUUGUCUUAUCAUUUCGAGGUGCGACAUGUUCUUGCCACACAUCUUAAUUUCCUUCUCUCAACGCAAUACUCGCUGUUUUAACAUGACUAUAAAACACUUAACAUAAAAUUAUAAUUAUAAAAAGCACUUUCAAAUGCAAUAAAAUACUGAAGAUAUCGCUUAAAUAAAUAUUAACCUAACUGUCAAAGUGAAAACCAGUAAAAUUAUAGUCAAAUGGCUUUUCUAAAUAAUAUAAUUAAAUAUGAAAAUUAUUUACGUGAAUAUUAAUAAGGAAAAAUUUCAAGUUUUAAAAAUUGGACAUUAUGACUUUGCAGCGGAUAUGCAGUACCUACUGAGAAAAUCCAAUAUUUGUUCCUGUAUCAUAUCCUUAGAAAAGCUGGGAAGAGCAGGGUCUUGAAACUUACAAGAUAAGUUUAGUGCAUGCUACACACCAACUGACAUGUUUAAAAACUGGUUUUUCUAAUUUAAUUUGUACACAUCUCAAAAAAUUAACACACUAUCGAUGAAAAAAAUAUUCUCGCUGGCGUAAAUUAAAUAAUAUUUUACGUAAACUAUCAUCACGUAAAGAUUACUGGGGUAUGAAGUAACAAAUUCCACUAAGCGGAUGUGUUUCGCAAAGAAGUAUAGGAAGUUGCCAGACCUUACUAUAUGACUGUGUGGCUGACAUAGAGAAAUGACACAAACUCAUUGUUUGUGUGUGUGGCAUAGCUCGUAUAAUUUUCUUAUAUAAAAUUGAUUUUAUUCCUUUUUUACUACCUUAGGGAUGGAAUUUCAUAAUUAUAUAUAGCAUAUGUCACUCUCAGGUCCAUAAACUAUCUAUAUGCAAAAAAUUGUUUUGGUCUUUUGCUCCGUUACUGCGUGAAAUAAGGACUUUCCUAUUUAUAUUAGUAUGGAUUAUCACCCCAAUGGAAUACCUAACAGACUAACUUACAUUUCCAUACAUUGUGUUGUUUUAAUCAGGGUACCUAUAGGUUAUGCCACAUUACACGUUGGGUUGCGUGUGCCCCAUCUGCAUGAAUAAAAUAAGUGAUAAAUUGUUUUUGUACAUCUCAUUGUUAAAGUAGUGGAAAUGUGUGCAAUUUCUAUAUUAAUAGUGAAAUGUAUUGUACUUGUGAAAGUACUUUCUGUACAAACAAGGAGUGUACAUUUCCUAGCUUAGAAUUAUUGGAAUCAUUAUAUUACCUGCUUUUGUAACUUAAUUGGUAUCUUGGUUUCCUCUUGUAAAUAAAAGUCAACAAAAAACAAAA